Molecule: long non-coding RNA, 216 nt
Filed under: Diabrotica virgifera virgifera (western corn rootworm)
Lineage: Eukaryota; Metazoa; Arthropoda; Insecta; Coleoptera; Chrysomelidae
Description: uncharacterized LOC126883184
Source: RNAcentral
GCGAAGUGAGCGAGGCAGGCCGACCUGAGUCGCGACGUGCACUGUUUUGAGGUGAUUCGUAAACUUAGGCAGGCCAACUCGAGACGAGACGCAAGGUGUACCGAAGUGAGACGCCCAUCCGGAGGAGGACUUCGCUGGGACAAAAUAGAAUAUUGAAUUAUUAUUUUGACUUAUUUUGUACAUAAUUUAGAAUUAAUAGAUUUGCUUUGUUUUCAA